RNAcentral lists this long non-coding RNA (2217 nucleotides) under Eutrema salsugineum. RNAcentral describes it as "long non-coding RNA (ESAL_LNC001202)". Lineage: Eukaryota; Viridiplantae; Streptophyta; Magnoliopsida; Brassicales; Brassicaceae. The record is from RNAcentral.
CCAUUUCUCUCUUCUUCGAAAUUUCAAUCGACGACUUCUUCUUCAUUUGAUAUUCCACCUGCAAAAUCGGAGACAUCGAAGACGAAAUCGAGAUCUCUACAUCCUUCUGCUUCGUCAAAGUAAGUGAAUAAAUGGUGAUGGAUUGUGUGUUGUAGUUAAUUUUGGGUGUGGUUUAGCAAAAUUAGGGUUUUUCGGAUUUGGGGAAAUUUUUUGGGACAACUUUUUUUUAUUUUAUUUAGGGUUAUUCCUGAUAGUUGAAGUGUGAAUCCGUAUAAUACUCUUAAAUGAUUUAUUCUUUGUUAUAUAAAUUCAUCCUGAUUUUGGGAUUUAUCAAAUCUGUUAUCAAGUUUUCUGUGAACCCUAUAAAAGAAUCACCAUUGGAGAAGAGAAUUUGAUGGAGUUCUAAAUUUUUCAAACCUCAAAAUUAUAUUAAUAAACAAUUGGUGAUGAAUCUUAUGAGAGUAUCACUAUUGAGGUUGCUCUUACGUUAUUGUUGUUAGCGUUUCUCUGGUUAUUUUUGUAUUUUCUAUGUUUUUUGGUCGUGCCUCUUUGUGUUCGUUCUUUCUAAUUGCUAAAUUAUUUCCUGGUUUAGAAUUCAUGCGUGUAGAUAUCUCUGAUUUAGGAAAGAACAUUGUUGUCAUCGUUCCGCUCUGCGAGUUAGUUGUGGUUUUCUUUUUUCGUUUUUUUUUUUUUGUUUCUCAGAUUUGUGACUCAUCUUUGUUGCGAAUAGUUUCUGAUCUUUAUUGAUCUUCGAAGAAUUCCCCUCAAGGAUGACUCUUUUUUUUUGGGAUGAUGUUUCGUUUUGGACGUUCAUAUACUAUAUCAGUCUAUAUUUCAUAAAUUGGGAUUUAGCUUAUUUGUUGUUGUUGUUGGGUUAGGUUAUACGGUUACGUAUGUAUCGCGUUUAUGGUUUUUUUUUUGCUACGUUCUGAUAUCCUCGGUUUGUCAAUUGUUUUAUAGCCUUUUUCAUUUGUAUUGAUCUAUUGAUUUUCUGUUUUGUUGGUUCUGAGUGGUUUAAAAAUAGAUCUAUUGAUUUAUUUUCAUUCUUUUGGGUUUGCUUUUUUUUUUUUUUGGCUUUUCACAAAAAAAACGAUCGAUAUAAUAUGCCCUUUUAUUUCUUAUUUUUUUGGUCUUUUACCGUGUUUGUUGUUUUUUUUUUCUAUGUAGACAUGUAGGUGCUGCUUCUUUGUGUUCGAUUGCCUGAGUAGCUGGUUAGUUCUUUUUGCCAAGAUGCUGAAAGGUAGAGUUUAGGGUUUUGUAUUUGAAUUUGUUCUUGGUUUGUUUUUGACAAGGAAUUUGUUCUUGGUUUUGUGAUUGUCUUUGUUUCUUUACUAAUGGAUUGUGUUUGUGUUACGCCUGUGUUUUCUAUAUGAUCGGGGUUUGUUUAGGCGUGUUUUUUUAUAUUCUUCCCCUACGAGUCGUUGUUGGCUUAUUGGUUUUUGAUUGCUUUGUUUUUUUGGCUGUUUUUGAAAUUUUUUCUUUACUUGUUCGCAUUUUGCUCUUCCAUCUAACAGGUUUAGAUGCAGUUUAGGUUUAUGUUUCCUUUCUGCUCUGUCGAGGUAUACUUUCGUGGGAAUCACGUCUGCGAGUUUGUAUGUUUUUUGUUUUGCUUUGUUCUGCUUUACUCUCUUUAGUCUCUAUGAAAUCGGUUUUAUUAAGUUACCUUCCUCUUCGGAUGCAGAAAACCGUGGUCUUAUCGAGCGCACAUGUUCAAAACCUGCACUUACGGUCAUACUCUUAUGCUCAAUCUGAAAAACACAGAGAGAUGUAACACUGAGAAAGGAACUCACUGAGAAAGAAACUCCUUCUCACAGAAAUAACUCAUAUGCAACACUUCAAUACAGAGUCUAUGAUUUUGUUUUCUGAAAGACAGUAAUUUCAUGUGUAAUAGGUUGUUGAUGAAUUUAACAUACUAUGAUCUCCUUCGUGGGAAUCAGCGUUCAUCCCAAGUUUGCAAUUACUGAUUGAGUAAGUUAAUGGCAGAGAUGAUAGGUCAGCAUCUCCGAUCAAAAGCUUGGCCAGAACGACAUCUCGGCUUCCUUUUGGUUUGGUUAACAUCUCCGGUUUUGACCAUAUGAAUCGGCUUGGUUCCUGCAAAAUUUUGACAGCCCAUUCUGUCAAUUAUCUCCAAAAAAAAACAACUAUUGUGAUUACAAGAGUGAGGUCCUUUUGACCUGAUUUUAAGAAUAAUAAACUAAAUGACUAUUUGAUUAACAG